AGGGUGCCGGGGCUUCGCCCGUUUUUUUGAGCGGGCGAAG
This 40-nucleotide transfer RNA is filed under the name Cnemaspis sundainsula. Its description in RNAcentral is "partial tRNA-Cys". The record is from RNAcentral. Lineage: Eukaryota; Metazoa; Chordata; Lepidosauria; Squamata; Gekkonidae.